GAGGGUGUAGCUCAGUGGUAGAGUGCAUGCCUAGCAUGCACAAGAUCCUAGGGUCAAUCCCCAGUACCUCCA
Camelus ferus (Wild Bactrian camel) is the source of this 72-nucleotide transfer RNA. It matches the Rfam family "tRNA". From Rfam's summary of the family: Transfer RNA (tRNA) molecules are approximately 80 nucleotides in length. Their secondary structure includes four short double-helical elements and three loops (D, anti-codon, and T loops). Further hydrogen bonds mediate the characteristic L-shaped molecular structure. tRNAs have two regions of fundamental functional importance: the anti-codon, which is responsible for specific mRNA codon recognition, and the 3' end, to which the tRNAs corresponding amino acid is attached (by aminoacyl-tRNA synthetases). tRNAs cope with the degeneracy of the genetic code in two manners: having more than one tRNA (with a specific anti-codon) for a particular amino acid; and 'wobble' base-pairing, i.e. permitting non-standard base-pairing at the 3rd anti-codon position. The record is from Rfam. NCBI's taxonomy places the organism in Eukaryota, Metazoa, Chordata, Mammalia, Artiodactyla, Camelidae.